RNAcentral lists this ribosomal RNA (397 nucleotides) under uncultured bacterium. Its description in RNAcentral is "partial 16S ribosomal RNA". It matches the Rfam family "Bacterial small subunit ribosomal RNA", at positions 523 to 918 of the family's 1533-position model. The record is from RNAcentral.
AUACGUAGGUGACAAGCGUUAUCCGGAUUUACUGGGCGUAAAGGGCGUGUAGGCGGUCUCGCAAGUCAGAAGUGAAAUUCCUGAGCUCAACUCGGGCGCUGCUUCUGAAACUGCAGGACUUGAGUGCUGGAGGGGAUAGCGGAAUUCCUAGUGGAGCGGUAAAAUGCGCAGAUAUUAGGAAGAACACCGGUGGCGAAGGCGGCUAUCUGGACAGUAACUGACGCUGAGGCGCGAAAGCACGGGGAGCAAACAGGAUUAGAUACCCUGGUAGUCCGUGCCGUAAACGAUGAAUACUAGGUGUAGGGGGUAUCGACUCCCUCUGUGCCGCAGUUAACACAAUAAGUAUUCCGCCUGGGGAGUACGGCCGCAAGGUUGAAACUCAAAGGAAUUGACGGGG